This 392-nucleotide ribosomal RNA is filed under the name uncultured bacterium. RNAcentral describes it as "bacterial SSU rRNA". It matches the Rfam family "Bacterial small subunit ribosomal RNA", at positions 30 to 420 of the family's 1533-position model. The record is from RNAcentral.
AUUGAACGCUGGCGGCGUGCUUAACACAUGCAAGUCGAGCGGUAACAGGUGUAGCAAUACAUGCUGACGAGCGGCGAACGGGUGAGUAAUGCUUCGGAAUCUUCCUCGUAGUGGGGAACAACCUGGGGAAACUCAGGCUAAUACCGCAUACGAACUACGGUUGAAAGCAGGGGAUCGCAAGACCUUGCGCUAUGAGAUGAGCCGAAGUCGGAUUAGCUAGUUGGUGAGGUAAAGGCUCACCAAGGCGACGAUCCGUAGCUGGUCUGAGAGGACGACCAGCCACACUGGAACUGAGACACGGUCCAGACUCCUACGGGAGGCAGCAGUGGGGAAUUUUGGACAAUGGGCGCAAGCCUGAUCCAGCCAUGCCGCGUGAGUGAAGAAGGCCUCGG